This 443-nucleotide ribosomal RNA is filed under the name uncultured Prevotella sp. Its description in RNAcentral is "bacterial SSU rRNA". It matches the Rfam family "Bacterial small subunit ribosomal RNA", at positions 355 to 794 of the family's 1533-position model. The record is from RNAcentral. Lineage: Bacteria; Pseudomonadati; Bacteroidota; Bacteroidia; Bacteroidales; Prevotellaceae.
UGAGGAAUAUUGGUCAAUGGGGCGAGAGCCUGAACCAGCCAAGUAGCGUGCGGGACGACGGCCCUAUGGGUUGUAAACCGCUUUUGAUUGGGAACAAAGAGCGCCGCGUGUGGUGCGUUGCGUGUACCUUUCGAAUAAGCAUCGGCUAAUUCCGUGCCAGCAGCCGCGGUAAUACGGAAGAUGCGAGCGUUAUCCGGAUUUAUUGGGUUUAAAGGGAGCGCAGGCCGUGGGUUAAGCGUGUCGUGAAAUUCCGUCGCUCAACGGCGGACGUGCGGCGCGAACUGGUCCACUUGAGUACGCGGGACGUUGGCGGAAUUCGUGGUGUAGCGGUGAAAUGCUUAGAUAUCACGAAGAACUCCGAUUGCGAAGGCAGCUGACGGUAGCGCAACUGACGCUGAGGCUCGAAAGUGCGGGUAUCGAACAGGAUUAGAUACCCUGGUAGU